GUGCCAGCAGCCGCGGUAAAACGUAGGAGGCGAGCGUUAUCCGGAUUUACUGGGUGUAAAGCGCGUGCAGGCGGACGGGUAAGUUGGGUGUGAAAGCUCCCGGCUCAACUGGGAGAGGUCGCUCAAGACUGCCGGUCUGGAGCGUGGUAGGGGAAGGCGGAAUUCCGGGUGUAGUGGUGAAAUGCGUAGAUAUCCGGAGGAACACCAGUGGCGAAAGCGGCCUUCUGGACCACGACUGACGCUCAGACGCGAAAGCUAGGGGAGCAAACGGGAUUAGAUACCCCCGUAGUCC
Molecule: ribosomal RNA, 292 nt
Filed under: uncultured bacterium
Lineage: Bacteria
Description: partial 16S ribosomal RNA
Rfam family: Bacterial small subunit ribosomal RNA
Source: RNAcentral